UACGUAGGUGGCAAGCGUUGUCCGGAUUUAUUGGGUUUAAAGGGCGUGUAGGCGGCAUUUUAAGUCAGUGGUGAAAUACUUCAGCUUAACUGGAGAGGUGCCGUUGAUACUGGGAUGCUUGAGUACUGAUGAGGUAGGCGGAAUGGACGGUGUAGCGGUGAAAUGCGUAGAUAUCUGGAGGAACACCGGUGGCGAAGGCGGCAUCCUGGACCAACACUGACACUGAGGAGCGAAAGCCAGGGGAUCAAACGGG
Molecule: ribosomal RNA, 253 nt
Filed under: uncultured bacterium
Lineage: Bacteria
Description: partial 16S ribosomal RNA
Rfam family: Bacterial small subunit ribosomal RNA
Source: RNAcentral